RNAcentral lists this long non-coding RNA (6884 nucleotides) under Sus scrofa (pig). RNAcentral's name for it is "lncRNA (ENSSSCG00005040859.1)". Lineage: Eukaryota; Metazoa; Chordata; Mammalia; Artiodactyla; Suidae. The record is from RNAcentral.
UUUUCCAUUUCUAUUCUCAUUUGGCUUUAGCCACUGUCCUAACCUGCCAGAAAAAAGAUGGGUAGUAAAAACAAUAUUACUUUUAAGAGAGCAAAUGCAGUACACAGUUCCACACUUUCAUCCAGUUUAUUCUUUUUUCUUUGCCCUUUUGGUUAUCUCUGAAGACUGCUUCUGUUUCCAUUGUUUCAUCCUUUAGCAUUCACAUAUCAGAGCAAUAAGUAUUUCAUUACUGGUUUAUCUGUCCAGAGGCUUGAGAAGCGGUAACAAUUAACCCUCCCUUCACAGUGAUUGAUACAGGCUUUGCUUUCAAUUUGUUCCACUACACAGAUCAUGAAAUUCUGAAUGCAAUCAUCCUCAUUGACCUACACUUUCAAACACACGGCUACAAUGAGACGAAAGUAAUUAUUAAAAGGAACACAGGACUACUGAGAUCUGAAACAAAGUCUUUUAAAAAUCUGUUAGAUGACCUUCUGCUAAAAUUGGCAAAUUUUGAUGUUAAGGAAAAUGAUAGCUUUGUGGCCCUUUCUGGAAAUAUUCAAUACAAGCUGAUCAAUGUAUAUUGUGGUGAUCAUACUGGCUGCAGAAUGUACUUCCAAAAUGCAGAAAGCCAUUUUAAAGCAGUUACAAACUAAAGGUAAACUGUCAAUACUGUAGUUUCAUCUGCCUAAAAUUUUCUUCAAGAAAAUUAAACUUUCUGAUCUGUGUAUAAGGAACAAGCAUUAACCAAAGCAAAGAAUGUAGGUUGGAAAAGCAAUCUUUUUACUCUGUAAGAAGAGUUUCAUACCUGAGUCCUACGCCUUCCCUUUAGGUGAAGAUUCACAGUAAGAAAUGAACACAUUUUUCACAAAGUCUGAAAAAUAGCUUCAAAUAAAUAUUAAUCUACUGCAAUCGAUAUAUGAGGAAUGGAGAGGGGCGAGUGGAGACUGGUGACUACAGAACUAUAUUAAAACAAGGGUUGCAGUUAAAGAAAAUCAGGGCAGAAAGCGAGGCAGCAGGCCUGAGGCUCUAAUCGCAGAACGGAGUGAUGGGAUGAACCAAUACUGCAUGGAUUAGCAAUGAAUUAUUCUGAACCGUAAUCAUAUGCCUGCACAGAAGAGAGGCAAAAACUAGCCAUUACUCAUAAACUGAGCUGCUGAUUUCUUGAGGGGGGUGGGGAGAAUGAGAAUGAAUUCAUAUGUUAAACUAACUCAGAAUAAUGAAAACCUAAAGAUGUGGUUACAUGUCAAGUUACAUUCUAUUUUUAAUGUCUGCCAUAUACUACAUAAUAUGGGAUAUUUACAGUACAAACUAUAAAGUGCGUGAUUCAAGUAGGAUUAAUCCAGCCCUUUCUUCUAAGAUUAGGAUGGAAGACAGUAUUCCAUUCUCUAUUUUUUCUUGUCCAACAAAACCAUUUAUGAGUAACUUUGAUAUGCCCAAAUAUAAAAUAUUUAAGUGUUUAGUUAGAAGAAGAAACAGCAUUCAAGGAAUUAACUUCCUUUGGAUAAUCCUAAAAAUUCAUACCAAAGAAAAUUCAAAUGUUAGAACUAAUUGUGUUAGGAAGAAAAAAAAAAUCAAAACUGCUGGUAGCAAGAGAUUCCUGAGAUUCUUAUGAACAGACUGUUUAAAUGAAGAGCACUUUAAUCAGUAGAGGAAUCCUCACGUUUCUAAUGUCUUGCUGUGCAUUCUGCAGGUUAUAGUAGCAGCUGGUAGAGGUCAUAUAUCUUUUGUGAGCAUCCCAAAAAGGCUCACUGCCAGACUGUUAAAUUAUGAAUAAGCAAUGAACAAAAGAAUGCAGAUACGGUGGUGACAAGAUAAUCCAAGCAAAUUUAUCUAUGACAAAUUUCACAGGAUUAACAAAUUACAUUUACACAGAACAAUAAAAAUGUGCAAAAAAAAAUGAUGAGCCUACUUUUCCUUAAAGCAUUAGGAAAACAAAAAAGUCACCAAUCCACUGCAUAUAUUUAAAUUUAACUUGAUCUAAAGUAAGACAUUUAUAAUAUCUUUGUAACAUUUCCCCAUUUCAGAUAGACAUAUAUAAACAUGGAAUAUCUGGUUUAUAUUUUAUAUAUGUUCCAUUAUAAACAAGAACAUAUAUACAGCUUAUAUAUAAACUAUGUGUACAGCAUAAAGAAAUCUCCUACACUAAACAAAAGUCAUCCCAUUCAUAUAUAUGAAUAGAAUGUAUAUGCUUUUAAGAAAUAGAUUUUGAGGGACAAAUUAUUUNNNNNNNNNNNNNNNNNNNNNNNNNNNNNAAAUGCACCCUCAGUGCAAUACACAUUAGUUACUAAAAUACCUUAUUCACUGAUGUCGCCAUUUUCUAGGACCAGAGAGAGAUGUCCUGCAAAUAGUUUCAAUAAUUCCACUUACUCCCAUCAAAAUGUUUCAAUCUUUCUGAGUAAAGCCCUUCUUAAUGAAGUUUAGAACUAGUAUCCUUUUCUGCAGUGUUACAAUAGCAGAAAGGAAAAUUCAUAGUUUGGGAUGGGUGGGAAAUUGAUUUCAGCUAUAUUCACUAACAAUGACCUUUAAUCCAAUAUUAAAAAAAUUGUAAAAAAAUUGUUUUUAUAAAUUUUACAAAUGAAAGAAGCCCCAGUAUAUCAGAAGUAACAAGAUACAACAUAUGAUUCCAUAAAGUGGUCUUAAAAUGCUAUAUAGCACUACUUUCCAAAAUACAUGAUAAACAUUUUAGUUUUCAUGUUAUAUACAACCUCAGUACCCAAGUCAGAUCGCUUUACUUCUGCAUUAACAUACUGAUGAUAAUAAAAUACUGUGACCAGACAUAACUUAUUUUAAGAUGAUCUGAAUCCUGUUUUAAAUUUUGUAGCCUUAUGUUUUUCACUUAUAUUUCCUACUGACUGCUGCUUUUUAUCUUCAACAUUUUAGCAAAACAUCUCUCCAAAUGAGCCCUUUCCAAGAGAUCACAAGGCAACCGAUUCUUUAUGUAAACAAGAAAUUUUCUGAAUGUAAAAGUGAAUAUUUAAUUAAGUUACACAAGCAAAAUACUCAGCUCUUUCAACCCAAAUACUCAAGUGCUGCUUAUCUAGUAUUUUCAAGGCCUGAAAUUCCUACUGCACAUCUUAUUUUUUUUAAGAAGCUAUUUGGUUGACAGUAUUACCUCUAAAAUCAAAAAACAAAAAAAAAAACAAAAAACAAAUGUGGUAUGCUUGCCUAGUACCUCAAAUCUAGCAAACAUUCUACAGUGGGCAGUGAAGGAGUCAGAUGCUACAAAGUUUCCUAAAGUAUAGCUUUUGUCAAAGAACUGUUGCAUACCAGAGCAACUUCUGUGAUGCCUGCCAUAAGAGACAUUAAAAUGUUACCAAGACUUCCUCUUCUUGAAGACACCACAAGUGUGUGUGUCUGGGAAGGGAGUGGGGAGAACUACUCGAUGAUAACUUAUCAUUUAUGUAUUUAUUGUGGCCCACUUUUAACAUGUUUUUAAUCAAACAAGUUAAUUAAUAUAUUUAAAGCCCUUAGAAUAGUACCUGGCACACAGUACUAUGCUUGCUGUUCUUAUUACAGUGACAGAUAACUUGGCAAGAAGCCAACUUCUAAGAGUCCUUAUAUAUUGCAAAAGACAAUAUCCAGAAAUAGUCAGGUAUUAAAGUGUGUUAUUCAGAAAGCCUACGAGGUUGUUUCUAUACACUCAGUGGCAAAACUACCCCAAAAUAAAAAUGUCUCCACUGUAGUCAUUAGACAAACUGUGGCACACUCUGAGGCAUGGAAACAUGAAUGGAAGAGGUCCCUGAAUACUUACAGUCUAUGACCAAAGAGGCCUAUGUACACGGCAAAAUGCUGCUUCUGAAAUCAUUCAGUACAAAAAUCUGCCCCAAAAUAUAGAGAGCUGUGGAGCCUGUCCACAAAACUACUGGAAUGUUAAAGGGUGGAGUGAGAAUAAUUUAAAUAUUGAUUCUUCCACUAACUUUAUAAAUGCUGUAUUUCUGAACUUUCCAAACAUCUAAUGAAGGACCGAGAAGCAGAGAUCUAGUUCACGACCCAUAGCACACACAGUCUUUCUGCCAAAGGAACUCUCUGGCAUCGACUCAGAAAUUCCUGACUCUAGAAAAUCCAAAAAUGCAGGCGCCUCUACACUGUGGUAAAGGUAUAUUUCUAUGGAGACAAACCUGAUUUAAAUCUCUAACUCUACCACCUCCUUUGCGAAAAUAAGCGAAACUAAUGAGAAAAAUCACUAUGAAACACAUAAUAGCCAAUAAAUCUUUAUUAUUAUCAUAUAUAAUCUAUUUUCAUUUUAAAAUCUCAUCAUAGAUCAUUUUAAAAAUUUUUCUCUGAUUUCAUUUACAUUACAUAGCAUGUUUCUUUCUUUACAAUAUUAUACAAGCUGAGUAUCUAUCCCUUCAGAACACUAAGCUAACAAGUCAAAGAAGAUGAAGAGAUUUAUUUAUAAGUCUAUGAAUUCUGUACUUCCUACUCCUCCAAAAAAGGGGUAUUUUCUUGUCCUUGAUAAUAUUUUGUGUAUUAAGAAACAUCUACAACUGGAGUAGCUGCUCUUCCGGGGUUUACCAUUCUCUACUAUUCCUGGAACAAGUAAUGAUGGCCCAUUGCAGAGGUUUGAUAAACAAAGCUGAAUUAAUGAACCAAUCAAUAAUUACAGUCAAGGCCCAGAAGCACUUUGGACAACAGUAAUGUGUGAUUCUCAUCUUGCCUCUCAUGAUUUUUGCAUAAGACCGCAAGCAUUCCAAUCAAUUCACCAAAACAUUAUACUUUAGACAUGUAUACAGACAACUACAAGUAUUGUUUAAUCUUGUCACUGCCCUAGUAAUCUCAGAUAUAGCAGUAGUAACUUUCCUCUUACUAAGCCAUAUUCCGCUUUGCACUGCACCAUUACUACUAUUACUAGAAAUUAUCCUAACUAUGUAAGAUUCUAGCAAACUUAAUAGUGCAAACAUCCUAUUCACACCAAUGGGGCCCACACAGUAAAAGUACCAUUCAGUUACAUCUGCUUUAGUACACUACUUAAUGAGGAAGGGGGGGGCACUAUUUACUUUGAAAGUACUAACAUUAUUAAAUGAGAAGCAAACAUAAUUGAAUUUUCCCAUAAAUGCAGCAAAUUCUUAGCUACUCAUACUAAAGAUUUAAAUAUUUAAAGUUCCACAUAUUCCAUUAUAUGCAACUUUGGUAGCACCUAAAUUUUAAAAUUAAUAAAACGAUCAACUAAAAUUGUCAACAUGCUAAUCCUUCCACUAAGUUUCAGCCUUAUCCAUUGUAAGCAAUUAAGAAAUGUCUAUGAAACACUUAAAGUUAGAUUCUAAGCCAAGAGCAAUGCAGAAUUUUUUAAAAAUUAAGUGAUGAAAUGCUAUGAUAUAGAAAAAGUAGCCAUAUAAACAUAACAGGAAAGGGAUUUGUUCUGAUCCCAUGUGUGCUUAAUUUUCUUUAAGUUUAGUGAGUGGUAUUUUGCAUAGGAAAUAGCAUCAGUAGAAUUGCAGGAAAAAUUAGAAAACAAAAAUAAACUGUCUAAGAUUCACACUGAGGUCAUUAUUAAUAGUAAAGCACUUAAGGAAGUUUAUACAGAACAUUACCAGGAGCAAUUUAGAUACCUCUGUGACAUAGCCUCUGCAAAUAACUCACAAAACAUAAAAUUCAACAGCUUAAAAAAUAACUAAAUAAAUGCAACACUGCCUAAAUCCUCCCCCUAAAAUGCUGCUUUACAAAAGCAUAUAAAGCUAUAUAUACCCUGUCAUAGAAAACCUUACCACAUAGCAGAGGACUCUGGACAUCAGGUCCUAUUUCAAACAGAUGCAAUUUUUACAUGCCAGUGGAUUCCAGACUAAGAUUUGGGCCAGAGCAAAAGAGUUGAGGGGUUCAUGGAAAUUUUGGCCCACAAAAUAGAUCUAUUGUAUACAGGAGUAACCACUGUGUAGAAGAAUUUCAGGGAAAAUUCAAAUGUCAUUUUGCUAAAAAAUAUCAAGCUGUUCCCACUUGCAGAUUAUAUUUAAAUUGCAAUAUAAUUCUUACCAGCUGAGAGAGACAUUAAUUUCACAUAACUUUCAGUCAAAAAUUAAAGUCAUAUUUUUAAGAAUAUAUGAAGGCACAGGGACCAAAACUUUACUCACAAUACCACAAGGUGCUGAAAAAUAACUCAUGUAACUUUUUUUUUGAAACCAAAAGCAUCAAAUAAUGUUGGAUUCAAGUUGCUUAUUGUAACAAAUCAAAUCUAGUAAUUGGCACAUUACAGAUUUGAAGUAGCUAUGUGUCUUUCAAUUUAUAAAUCAGAAAUUGGAAAUAUGAAAAGAUGCUGUAAUGUGGGAGGGUCCUACAUAAUAAAGGUCAUUAUAACUCCUGGCUCCAGAGCUAUACAAUCUAAUAUCCUCUCUGGUGGUUCUAUGAUAUGCCCAUGCAUUACAGUUCUUGUUGACAGUCUGUUGCCUUGGAAAUAUUUCAUUAUUUCAGUUUUUCCAUUUGUAGACCCUUGGCCUUGUGAUAUGAAGGCCAUCCUAUUUCAUAUUUUCGAUUAUCAUUUAAGCAAUCUUGUGGGGCUAUUUAUAUAUAAGCAAGUGUUAGACAACGCAUAUCAUCAUUUAUCACUCUGUGUUCAAGCUUACACUGAAAAAAGAAUUACCUCCAAAAAAGUCUCCACCACCUUUACUUUUUAAACCAAAAGCCCUGUGCUACUGGAAUAUGCUUUGCAAACCAGCAUGGGCAUAUCACAUGCUUGACACUUCUGUCUAAUUUUCUUGAUUUUUACAUCCACAUAGUGGAAAAAUUCUGUGGUAGUGUUAUAUAAUUUGUAGCCUAUUGGAGUUGUUGUCGUUUUUUUAAUCAACAAGUUUAAACUUACAAGGUUUUCAACUUGUUCUUUCAGGCUCCAAAGAGACACUUUCUGUGUGUAUGAGUCGGAGAAAUUUAAGAAAUACUAAAUAUCAAUGUAAGACAUUAUCAAAAAAAGUUUUUUU